AGUGAACGCUGGCGGUAGGCCUAACACAUGCAAGUCGAACGGCAGCACAGUAAGAGCUUGCUCUUACGGGUGGCGAGUGACGGACGGGUGAGGAAUACAUCGGAAUCUACUUUUUCGUGGGGGAUAACGUAGGGAAACUUACGCUAAUACCGCAUACGACCUACGGGUGAAAGCAGGGGAUCUUCGGACCUUGCGCGAUUGAAUGGGCCGAUGUCGGAUUAGCUAGUUGGCGGGGUAAAGGCCCACCAAGGCGACGAUCCGUAGCUGGUCUGAGAGGAUGAUCAGCCACACUGGAACUGAGACACGGUCCAGACUCCUACGGGAGGCAGCAGUGGGGAAUAUUGGACAAAGGGCGCAAGCCUGAUCCAGCCAUACCGCGUGGGUGAAGAAGGCCUUCGGGUUGUAAAGCCCUUUUGUUGGGAAAGAAAAGCAGCAGGUUAAUACCCCGCUGUUCUGACGGUACCCAAAGAAUAAGCACCGGCUAACUUCGUG
RNAcentral lists this ribosomal RNA (492 nucleotides) under uncultured bacterium. Its description in RNAcentral is "partial 16S ribosomal RNA". It matches the Rfam family "Bacterial small subunit ribosomal RNA", at positions 29 to 507 of the family's 1533-position model. The record is from RNAcentral.